This is a long non-coding RNA of Salvia splendens (bonfire salvia), 1638 nucleotides long. RefSeq lists it as uncharacterized. The transcript has 2 exons. Lineage: Eukaryota; Viridiplantae; Streptophyta; Magnoliopsida; Lamiales; Lamiaceae. The record is from RefSeq and is a predicted model, not a curated record.
CGAGCAUUAGAUUAAUGUUCGGGAAUUAAGUUUAUCAUUGUUGAAUUAAUUAGUGGACGGUCAAUUUCUUGAUAGGCAGAACAUUUGGAGGGCCCGUGAUUAAAUUUUUAACCCAAACUCUUAAUUUUUAAUGGGUGGCCCAACUCCAUAAUAAAAUUCGCCAGCCCACUUCCCCAUUUAACUCUUUAGUCUAUAAUUAAUUUGUGAGGCCCAACAGCAAAAGGGUGGGAAUUAGGCCCCAAAACAAAGAAACUUGGCCCAAACCCUACCCCUUCCAUCGCUGCCUCUCUCUCCCCUUCACUUCUCAUUUCAAAAUCCCCGAAUUGGGGAAGGGAACCCUAGCCCUUAUCUCCCUCGUCCUCGGCUCCUGUUGGCGACGCAGCAUCGCCGCCUUUCUCACCAUUGUCGGUCGCUACUCCGGUCGGUGCCAUUAAUUGGCCGUCGGAGCUCGUUUCUUCUUCCUCCUUUCGGCAUCUCCUCAGUCGAGCUCCCUCCGCCGAGCUCUCUCACUCCGGCGGUGCUCCGAUAGGGAUGCGACACCUUGCGGUGGCUGUCCCACUCUCACGGCUGUAUGAACUCCCUCCGGUUCUCUUCUUCGCCCACGCUAGCCUUGGCAGCCGACAUCCAGCGGUUGUCCCACCGUCGCAGUCCAGCCGAGCAGCGGUGCCGCUCCAGGAGACUCGCCGUCACGGUCGAUGCUGUGACAGCUCCGCCCGUCGCCGUUUAGUACUCCUCCGAUGAGAAACUCGAGACCGUCGAUGUAUAGAGAUGAGUUCUCCUAACUUCCUUCUCGUAUUUUCGCUAGAAACAGUUGCUCUUUACAGCUUAAUUUAAUUGAAGAACAUGAGUCUUAUUCGUGUGUGGAUUUGGUGAUUUACGGGUCAAUGCCUUUAGUUGGAUGUUUUCAAUAGAGGUUUGUUGGAGGUGAGAGUGCAGAGUUGCAGCUGCGGCAGAGUUUACUUACCUUGGUGAUGCAAAGGUUUCUCUUUGGAAUUGAUUGGAAGUGGUGAAAGGAAAAAAGUGCGAAACUGAAAAGAGGCAUUAUGGGUUCAUAUAUAUUGGAACUGAAACCUGCAGUCUCUUGUUUUUUGUUGAGGACUUGAUGGCUGUUGUUUGUAGUACAUGGUGGGUACUCGUGGUGUUAUAAAUGGAGCUGUUCUUUUCCUGCAGCAAAUGCUCUUUUCUUAUACUACUGCAGCAACUCUAACUACCAAUUGGUGGUGUACUAGGAGAUAAGGACUCUUGUAUUCAUGUUAUUUGUUGAUUUUGCAAAUGUACAUGGUGGUGAUGCAAAGGUUUGUUGGAGGUGAGACUGCAGAGUUGCAGCUGUGGCAGGCUGCCCUUUUGGGCAAGUUUUUUCUAUUACUCUUGAAAGACUUUGGAGAGAGAUAAACUGCCACACGGGCUUGUAGCUCUCGGUCCAAUGGGCUGCUUCGGACACGGGCCGUGAAGGUGUGGCUUGGGCUCGAAAAGAGAGGCCCACGUUUACAUAUUUGUAUACCCACACAUUUGUAAACAUAGUUACUUAAGUACAUGUAAUAGUUCUUAUUAAAGCCAUCAUCUUAACUCUUAGUAUUCUCUUAUAUUAGUGUACUUUGUUUAAUUAGAGGAAUAAAAACACUAAUUCGUUUUAGUUCA